GAUCUAUUAGGUCCCUUCCGACCCUGAAACUAUGAAACUGGAGGAAAUGGUUGCAAUUAAAAGAGUAAAUAAUAACAGAUCAAAUCAAGUCAAAGCUGGAUAUUAAAAUAUUCCCCUAAAUGAAAGCAGUGAAAGAACAGAAGUACAGCUAAUAAAAUGCAAAGCAAGGCAAACACAGAGUAUAAAAAUAAGCAUACAGCAAAAAGUCAUCUGUGUGCAAUAAAGAUAGAGGUAAGAGGCUGUGUCCAUUAUAAAGAGUGCAAUGUUAUGCAUAUAAUAAAGAUGUGUAGUUCUCAGCGUAAGUUGCAAAUAGUCUUUGCAAUGAGCCACUUUGUACAAAGGGAAUGACCUCAAAACAAGGGGUCCAUAGAGAGAUUCAUAGGCUUGUUAACAUAUCCAAGUGAAUUAAUCCCUAUUUGUCACAAUCAAGCAUGCCGUUCCUUCCCUGCUUAAUGGAGGAAAAGUUUGUGACUUAGACCUCUGGGGCACUAAGUUAAUGGGUUUACUGAAUAUUCUAUCCUUCCUUUUGCACAUUUUUCUAAGUGUCUGUUUCAUAUAGUGAAUUGUUUUACUAGUUAUUAGCAUUUGUUCUUAAUACAAAUGGAAGAAAUUUGAUAUAAUUCAAACAUGUUCCUAGAAGAGGCUUUCAUCAAUGUUUUCAGCUUGUUUAUUCUUUGAGUCACAGAAGUCAUUUCAGAGAAUGUGAUUACCCUACUCUUGUGAACUCUUUAUCAUUCAACUUUACAAGCACUGAAUCUAUCAAAUGCUGUUAAAGGGGAUACCUAUGGAUUCCAUGCAAACAGUUAUCCUACCUCUCAGAUAAAGAUCAAGCAGGCUUAAAUGUGAUAUUCUGCAGUAAACAGAUGCUUGACCUAAUGUCCCAAGGAGCAGCAGCAGGGAGAAGGGAUGCCUGGAAUCAUUUAAUCAUGCUGGAUGGAGUAAAGGAGAAGAGAAGCCAUUUCUAUCAAGGCAGAAGCAGCAGGAUCCCUGUGAAAGACAAACUUUAAGCUGCCUAAACCUAAACCAGAAGUGGUACAUGCAAUUGGUCAUUGCUUCUGGAAGCAGCAUGGGCAGCCUGAGAAACGAUCAGGGUUUCCUGAGGUCAGAGGAGGAAAAGGUUGUCUGCUUUCCGGUGAAGGUCAUGUCCUGCUUCUGGGAGGUGAUGGCAACUCCUGCUCCAUGUGGUUUUGCAGAAAAGUUUUGAAAACUGAACAGAAAAGUAUAGGUAAAACAUAGAAUGCACUGACAUUCUGUUUUCCUGCAUGGCAUUAUAGGCAGCAUUCUGCUCUCAGAUAUACACAGAUGAAACAUGCAUGUGUCUGGGGCAGAACUGGAUCCAACACUUAUACAUGCAUGUGUGGUCCUUACUUUCAGAAAUGUAAUUCCAGGAACUGUUGCUAAAACCUUGUAUGCUGAAAUGUUAAAUGUUGUAAUUAAGAAUAUUAUGCAGAAAUUCUGGCAUUCUGCUUGUGUUGCUGAAUGUUUCCAUUUAUCAAAUCACAGGCUUUAUCUUGCAUUACAGUUUGUACACAUUCAAGCUUAUUUCAACAAACUAUGUUGAAUAAUUAUUUGUCUGUCAUCUGUUAACGUCUGCUUGAUAGCUAAAUCGUUCCUGGCAACACAGCUGGGAAAUUUGCUGGUUUAUUGCUGCCACUUUCAUGUUCAAUUUGUGUUCAUAAUGGCACUGAAAUAUAUUCCAUGUGUAUUUGGGAAGGAUAUUUUUUUGUAUCAUGCCUUAGAGGAAAAGAAUGAUUUUCUAAUAUGCAUAAAUUAAAAUUAGCAGUGAUGUUAGAACUAAGAAUGUAAUGCUUCAUCUCACUCCUGUACAUUUUUGUACCAUUAAAAAUA
This is a long non-coding RNA of Alligator sinensis (Chinese alligator), 1848 nucleotides long. RefSeq lists it as uncharacterized. NCBI's taxonomy places the organism in Eukaryota, Metazoa, Chordata, Crocodylia, Alligatoridae. The transcript has 3 exons. The record is from RefSeq and is a predicted model, not a curated record.